Molecule: ribosomal RNA, 488 nt
Filed under: uncultured archaeon
Lineage: Archaea
Description: bacterial SSU rRNA
Rfam family: Archaeal small subunit ribosomal RNA
Source: RNAcentral
CUCGAGUGCCAGGUUACAAAUCUGGCUGUCGUGAUGCCUAAAAAGCAUUAUAUAGCAAGGGCCGGGCAAGACCGGUGCCAGCCGCCGCGGUAACACCGGCGGCUCGAGUGGUAACCGUUAUUAUUGGGUCUAAAGGGUCUGUAGCCGGCCGGAUAAGUCUCUUGGGAAAUCUGGCAGCUNAACUGUCAGGCUUUCAGGGGAUACUGUCUGGCUCGAGGCCGGGAGAGGUGAGAGGUACUUCAGGGGUAGGGGUGAAAUCUUGUAAUCCUUGAAGGACCACCAGUGGCGAAGGCGUCUCACCAGAACGGACCUGACGGCAAGGGACGAAAGCUAGGGGCACGAACCGGAUUAGAUACCCGGGUAGUCCUAGCCGUAAACGAUACUCGCUAGGUGUCGGCCACGGUGCGACCGUUGUCGGUGCCGUAGGGAAGCCGUGAAGCGAGCCACCUGGGAAGUACGGCCGCAAGGCUGAAACUUAAAGGAAUUGC